AUUGAACGCUGGCGGCAGGCUUAACACAUGCAAGUCGAGCGGGGUGAUGGUGCUUGCACUAUCACUUAGCGGCGGACGGGUGAGUAAUGCUUAGGAAUCUGCCUAUUAGUGGGGGACAACAUCUCGAGAGGGAUGCUAAUACCGCAUACGUCCUACGGGAGAAAGCAGGGGAUCACUUGUGACCUUGCGCUAAUAGAUGAGCCUAAGUCGGAUUAGCUAGUUGGUGGGGUAAAGGCCUACCAAGGCGACGAUCUGUAGCGGGUCUGAGAGGAUGAUCCGCCACACUGGGACUGAGACACGGCCCAGACUCUUACGGGAGGCAGCAGUGGGGAAUAUUGGACAAUGGGGGGAACCCUGAUCCAGCCAUGCCGCGUGUGUGAAGAAGGCCUUAUGGUUGUAAAGCACUUUAAGCGAGGAGGAGGCUCUUUUGGUUAAUACCCAAGAUGAGUGGACGUUACUCGCAGAAUAAGCACCGGCUAACUCUGUGCCAGCAGCCGCCGUAA
Molecule: ribosomal RNA, 503 nt
Filed under: uncultured bacterium
Lineage: Bacteria
Description: partial 16S ribosomal RNA
Rfam family: Bacterial small subunit ribosomal RNA
Source: RNAcentral